ACUUAUUAUGAGGUUCCUCGAUCGAUUAAGGGUACUUUGAGGUCUAAAACCCUUAACCAGUAAACCUUCGGAAAUUUUGCUCCCAUUUUAAGAACUUAAAUAACAUAACAAAAUAUCGGUGGAUCUCUCUCCUAAUUACCAACCAGGGAAGACAAGAAAAUGGCGAGAGGAACAAUACCUGAUAAAUGGUCAAUGAGGCUUCUUUGGCUUUGUGCUCUUGGAAGUGCAGUUGGUUUCUACAUGGUUGCUGUGGAAAGGCAAAUGCAGAAUAGAGAUAAGAUGAUGGCUGAAUUGGGCAACAUCGAAUCGAAUGGCGGUUCGAGUGAGGAUGUUUAGCUUGAAUCAAGAUUCAAGAGUAAUACAUCUUUGAGAAUUUGUGUUGAUUUGUUUUUUGAAUAAUCUGAUUGAGACUUUCUUUGUUUGUUAAUCAAAAGUUGUUCAGUUUCGAAUUCACUUGAAAUUUUAUACUUGAGCAUACUGUGUUUUGAUGAUUCGAAGUUGUUUCUAGGUUGAGAAAAGGAUUCUGUAUUGCAUAAUUCAUAAAUAAUACAGUAAGAUUGAGAAUUCAGAGGGUAA
This is a long non-coding RNA of Chenopodium quinoa (quinoa), 576 nucleotides long. RefSeq lists it as uncharacterized. The record is from RefSeq and is a predicted model, not a curated record. NCBI's taxonomy places the organism in Eukaryota, Viridiplantae, Streptophyta, Magnoliopsida, Caryophyllales, Amaranthaceae. The transcript has 3 exons.